RNAcentral lists this ribosomal RNA (253 nucleotides) under uncultured bacterium. Its description in RNAcentral is "partial 16S ribosomal RNA". It matches the Rfam family "Bacterial small subunit ribosomal RNA", at positions 524 to 776 of the family's 1533-position model. The record is from RNAcentral.
UACGUAGGGUGCAAGCGUUGUCCGGAAUUAUUGGGCGUAAAGAGCUCGUAGGCGGUUUGUCGCGUCUGGUGUGAAAAUCCAGGGCUUAACCCUGGACCUGCAUCGGGUACGGGCAGACUAGAGUGCGGUAGGGGAGAUCGGAAUUCCUGGUGUAGCGGUGAAAUGCGCAGAUAUCAGGAGGAACACCGGUGGCGAAGGCGGAUCUCUGGGACGGUACUGACACUGAGACGCGAAAGCGUGGGGAGCGAACAGG